GAUGAACGCUGGCGGCGUGCCUAAUACAUGCAAGUCGAGCUAACAUACGAGGAUCUUGCUCCUCUUACGUUAGCGGCGGACGGGUGAGUAACACGUGGAUUACCUCCCUAUAAGACUGGGAUAACUUCGGGAAACCGUAGCUAAUACCGUAUUAUUUAUUGAACCUCAUGGUUUAAUAGUUAAAGACGGUUUUGCUGUCACUUAUAGCUGGAUCCUCGCCGCAUUAGCUAGUUGGUAAGGUAACGGCUUACCAAGGCUACGAUGCGUAGCCGACCUGAGAGGGUGAGUGGCCACACUGGAACUGAGACACGGCACAAAGUCAUACGGGAGGCAGCAGUAGGGAAUCUUGCGGCAUGGGCGAAAGACUGACGGCGAAGCGCCGCGAGAGUGAUGAAGGUAUUCGGAUCGUACAACUCUGUUAUUAGGAAAGAACAAAUGUGUAAGUAACUAUGAACGAAUUGACGGUACCAACACAGAAAGCGACGGCUAACUACGUG
Molecule: ribosomal RNA, 497 nt
Filed under: uncultured bacterium
Lineage: Bacteria
Description: partial 16S ribosomal RNA
Rfam family: Bacterial small subunit ribosomal RNA
Source: RNAcentral